This 506-nucleotide ribosomal RNA is filed under the name uncultured bacterium. RNAcentral's name for it is "partial 16S ribosomal RNA". It matches the Rfam family "Bacterial small subunit ribosomal RNA", at positions 30 to 523 of the family's 1533-position model. The record is from RNAcentral.
AUUGAACGCUGGCGGCAGGCCUAACACAUGCAAGUCGAACGGCAGCACAGAAGAGCUUGCUCUUUGGGUGGCGAGUGGCGGACGGGUGAGUAAUGUCUGGGAAACUGCCCGAUGGAGGGGGAUAACUACUGGAAACGGUAGCUAAUACCGCAUAACGUCGCGAGACCAAAGUGGGGGACCUUCGGGCCUCACACCAUCGGAUGUGCCAAGAUGGGAUUAGCUAGUAGGUGGGGUAAUGGCUAACCUAGGCGACGAUCCCUAGCUGGUCUGAGAGGAUGACCAGCCACACUGGAACUGAGACACGGUCCAGACUCCUACGGGAGGCAGCAGUGGGGAAUAUUGCACAAUGGGCGCAAGCCUGAUGCAGCCAUGCCGCGUGUAUGAAGAAGGCCUUCGGGUUGUAAAGUACUUUCAGCGGGGAGGAAGGCGGUGAGGUUAAUAACCUUGCCGAUUGACGUUACCCGCAGAAGAAGCACCGGCUAACUCCGUGCCAGCCGCCGCGGUAA